RNAcentral lists this long non-coding RNA (597 nucleotides) under Homo sapiens (human). RNAcentral describes it as "HSALNT0344174". Lineage: Eukaryota; Metazoa; Chordata; Mammalia; Primates; Hominidae. The record is from RNAcentral.
UCAGAACGCGCGCACGCCCCGCCUCCCCCAACACCCCCACCCCCACUCCGGCGCGCCAUCUUUAGUGCUGGCAGCGAGGCUUCUUGGCCCCAUACGUCCAACCUUGCUGCUGGAGAGAUUGGGGUUUAUUUUUAACUGACUUACAUGAACGUGACCCCAUUUCCGAGGCCUGGCGCCUUUCUCCUCCUGUAAGUCUUCGCUCGAAUGUCACCUUGCGAGGGAAGUUGUUCCUGAUCACCCUGACUAUGUCCCCUACCGGUACUAAGAAAAAUCUGCAAAACAAAUGCUUGGCCAGCCUUAAGGAAUGAAUGGCCUUAGACUGAGUAAACCACACCAAGAUCACUCCUGGAAAAUGUUUUCAAGUGUCGAAGAUGGGAUGAUCGCCCAAAAGUUCUUACUGAAACCAAAGAAGGCAAACACCACCUACUAUAUUAUAAAGGAGAGGACACUGCAUUGGCUCCUCCGGAGGUCACAGCAACGUGGCGCCAUCUUGGAAGCAGAGAGCAGCCCUCACCGGACACCAACACCAGGCGCGGUGAUCUUGGCCUCCAAAGCUGUAAGAAAUAAAUUUCUGCUCCUUAUAAAUAACUCAGUCUC